UAAAGCAGAAGAAACACGCCAUGUGAGAACUCAGAUGUGCACACAUGCAGGAAGAGUUUCUUCCAGAGACUUAAGCACUAUGCUGAAUGAUAGGAGAUGGGGGAGGGCAUGGGUUAGGGAUCUGAGGAUAGUGGAAAGAGUUUGGAACAGCCACUGUGAGAAACAGACCUAUCCAGGCAGCUUGUAUGAAGGAUCACUAGCACGGGGCUCCGGUGGAGUUAGAAAGCCUGAAUCAGAACAGUGGAAUGUCUUUCUCUAACAACUUACAUAUCCCCUCAGGGUGGGAGAUGAGAGGUUGGUCCACCACCUGGUUAAAAUGAAUGACCCUAGGGCCCAAGCUGGGUGAGAAGGCAAUGAAGCCAGGAUAAACUGCUAGCCUAGAAGAAUAGGAUGGAGUCCAAGGAGUUGGCGCUAGCAUGAUGAGUUCUCAACCUUGGCUGAACAUCAGGAUCACCUGGGAUACUUAAAAAUAACAACAAAACAAAAAACUCCACCAUUCCUACCUCUAAAGAAUGUGAUUUAAAUUGGUCUGGGGUGAGGCCUGGACUUUGGGAUUUUUUUUUAAAGCUCCCCACAUCAUUCACCUAAUGUACAACCAAGCUGGUAAUGCACAACUCUUUUGUACAACUAUUAAAGCAAAGAGUGGGACCCUGCCCUCCGAAGCAAGAAGUUUCUCCUCCUUCUAUUCCAAGGCCAGCUCUGUCCCCAGGAUGAAUGGCAUCUCUCUGUGGAGACUAAUGGGGAAUAUGACAUCGCUCCAGUACACAUUUAACAAGCAAGUGGUUAGAUCAACGCCACAGGGCCCACUCGAUAAAUACUUGAUGCUGAUUGUACUGGACACUGAAGGAAUUGCCAUUCCACACCACUCGCCCCUUCUAAAAGCUGCCUCUUCCUCUCUUCUCGUCACGCUUCUCUAGAGAGCUGCAAGGUUCUGGAACCACCUUGCCCUCCUGCCCACCAUGGGACAGUAAGUUCCUGCCUGGGUGUUUUCAGGGGGCUCCCAACUGAGAAAGUCACGGUUCUUCUGAUCAUGAAAACUGCCAAAUGUCCAACUCAGGAGCAGGUGGCUGCUCCGUCAGGAAGAAAAUGGUGACUGUGCAGAGAGAAAAGGCAACCAGAACCACAGAGCAGAAAGAAGCAGGAGAGACAGUGAGGGCCCCUGGGGGAAUCUCAGGUUCUCACCGUGUCCGACUUUCCCGUGGUUCUGGCAAUAAAACCCUCUCUUUGCUUAA
Molecule: long non-coding RNA, 1232 nt
Organism: Cebus imitator (Panamanian white-faced capuchin)
Lineage: Eukaryota; Metazoa; Chordata; Mammalia; Primates; Cebidae
Exons: 2
Source: RefSeq, a predicted model, not a curated record